Molecule: transfer RNA, 51 nt
Filed under: Calligonum mongolicum
Lineage: Eukaryota; Viridiplantae; Streptophyta; Magnoliopsida; Caryophyllales; Polygonaceae
Description: partial tRNA-His
Source: RNAcentral
GGCGGAUGUAGCCAAGUGGAUCAAGGCAGGGAUUGUGAAUCCACCUUGCGC